This is a non-coding RNA of Biomphalaria pfeifferi, 529 nucleotides long. Lineage: Eukaryota; Metazoa; Mollusca; Gastropoda; Planorbidae. The record is from the annotation of a GenBank genome assembly.
AUUAAUUUAUGGGCAUCGAGUCUAAAAUAUCGACUUUCUUUUAUUGGUAUCCAAAACAAACUUUAUAACGAAUACCAAUUCUUUUCUGUUUUGACAUCAAAGCAUGCUCCUUCGAUGAUAAACAAAAGUUAACACAAUUUUAGAAAUAGAUCUAGACUGGAUAGACCUAGACUGCUAGAUCUAAUUGAGAACAAGGGAUUUACGUCUAAUAAAAAUGAGUGAAACAACUGCAACUGUUGAUGAUAAAGUUUCAGGAACUGAUCUAGAUCUAGUUCAAGUAGUUGUAGACACUCGAACUCUAGAAGUAGAAGAGGCAGUAGGCGUAGCCGCAGUACCAGAUCUAGUUCUAGUAGAGAAUCAUGAGAAAGAGAAUGGAUUUGUUAAUCAAGUUGAUGCUGUCAAUGUUUUUAACUGUGUCAGUGUUAAUAACAGUAUUAACACUAACAGUGAAUUGAAUGAAACUGAAUCCAAUGUAUCUAUGACUAUGGGCGUUAGUGUUUCUAUGUUAAGUGAAGCGCAAACAGAAGAA